This 76-nucleotide transfer RNA is filed under the name Alcanivorax sp. ALC70. Its description in RNAcentral is "tRNA-Gly". Lineage: Bacteria; Pseudomonadati; Pseudomonadota; Gammaproteobacteria; Oceanospirillales; Alcanivoracaceae. The record is from RNAcentral.
AGAAGGCCCGGGUCGGGUUCAGAUCUCCCGGGUUUCCCGGAAACGGAUUUCCGGGUGCCGCUCCUGGGCCAGCUGC